This is a long non-coding RNA of Oxyura jamaicensis (ruddy duck), 752 nucleotides long. RefSeq lists it as uncharacterized. The record is from RefSeq and is a predicted model, not a curated record. The transcript has 5 exons. NCBI's taxonomy places the organism in Eukaryota, Metazoa, Chordata, Aves, Anseriformes, Anatidae.
AGGAGUUGUGUAUUAGUACUACACCCAAGAGUAGCAAAUUCCAAGUUUCUUGCAGGUACAGCAAUGAUUAAAAAAAAUUCUGUGACAUUUUAUGCUGCUCUUCAAAAUGAAGGGGAGAGGAAUAAUCUGAAGAGGAAUGAUUUAAAAGAAGCUCAGUGACUGAGCAGUAACUAACUGUUAACAGGAACCAAAAUGAAGAAAGGAGAUUAAUAUCUGAAGAUUUCUCUUCUUUAUUGUCAGAAAGCUUCCACCUUCAAAAUCAGGCAUUUCUUAUUUUUUAAAAGACAACAAGAAUUCAUUCAUAUCGUUUUUUUCAGAAACAAGCAAAGUAAUAGAUGUUGCAUGAAGUCUGCCAGAGUCCAGCACCCCUGUUGCAUAAGGGUUGAGGAGACUGAUCUGGAAUCCCAGUUGACAACACGAAGAUGAACUCUCAGGGCUUGGGGUCUUGGCCAUACAUCACACAGAUCUAUUUUUCUCACGAGUUGAUGUUGUUUGACCAAAGCAAAAAGAAUAGCAUGUCAGUGUGCUUGCACUGCAUUUUCACGUAAGUACAUGGAAUAUUCAAGUCGUGGAUUUCUUUCAUGAUCCUUCUAAAUAAUUUGACUUCUCCCCAUUUGUUUAAUCAAAUCCACAAAACCAACAACAAAUCUCUUGGUUAUUUAUUUCUCCUUAUCAUCGAGCAUGCAUCACUAGAAACUUCCAGGUCUCAUGCAAACAUGUAUAAACCCAAAAAAUGUUCUGGGUGAGAACAC